UCAGCCUACGGGACGCAGCAGUGAGGAAUAUUGGUCAAUGGGCGCGAGCCUGAACCAGCCAAGUCGCGUGAGGGAUGACGGUCCUACGGAUUGUAAACCUCUUUUGCCGGGGAGCAAGCGUGCGUUCGUGAACGCGCGUCGAGAGUACCCGGAGAAAAAGCAUCGGCUAACUCCGUGCCAGCAGCCGCGGUAAUACGGAGGAUGCGAGCGUUAUCCGGAUUUAUUGGGUUUAAAGGGUGCGCAGGCGGCGAGUUAAGUCAGCGGUAAAAUUUCGGGGCUCAACCCCGACGAGCCGUUGAAACUGG
This 305-nucleotide ribosomal RNA is filed under the name uncultured bacterium. RNAcentral describes it as "bacterial SSU rRNA". It matches the Rfam family "Bacterial small subunit ribosomal RNA", at positions 333 to 636 of the family's 1533-position model. The record is from RNAcentral.